GGGCUUCGAAAUGUACUUUAAGAACGCAUAAAAUCGCUUUCGAAUGAUAUGAACUCUUAGUUUCACAUCUUCAAAAGUGAUUUCAUCUGAAAUGUAGUCACAAAGCUCUUCUGUAGCGCGGUGUAGGACGCCGUUGAAAACCUCAACUGUAUCUAGGGUUUCUAGUUGAAUGCAAUUCUCAUGGAUUGAAUGCAUCAUCAGCAAGUCGUAACUUAAC
RNAcentral lists this long non-coding RNA (217 nucleotides) under Erythranthe guttata (spotted monkey flower). RNAcentral's name for it is "long non-coding RNA (EGUT_LNC003672)". Lineage: Eukaryota; Viridiplantae; Streptophyta; Magnoliopsida; Lamiales; Phrymaceae. The record is from RNAcentral.